GACGAACGCUGGCGGCGUGCUUAACACAUGCAAGUCGAGCGGUAAGGCCCUUUCGGGGGUACGACGAGCGGCGAACGGGUGAGUAACACGUGGGUGACCUGCCCUCAGCUCUGGGAUAAGCCCGGGAAACUGGGUCUAAUACCGGAUAUGACUUCAUGACGCAUGUUGUGGAGUGGAAAGCCUUGUGCGGCUGAGGAUGGGCCCGCGGCCUAUCAGCUUGUUGGUGGGGUGANGGCCCUACCAAGGCGACGACGGGUAGCCGGCCUGAGAGGGCGACCGGCCACACUGGGACUGAGAUACGGCCCAGACUCCUACGGGAGGCAGCAGUGGGGAAUCUUGCGCAAUGGGCGAAAGCCUGACGCAGCGACGCCGCGUGAGGG
This 380-nucleotide ribosomal RNA is filed under the name uncultured bacterium. Its description in RNAcentral is "bacterial SSU rRNA". It matches the Rfam family "Bacterial small subunit ribosomal RNA", at positions 28 to 407 of the family's 1533-position model. The record is from RNAcentral.